UUUCCGUAGGUGAACCUGCGGAAGGAUCAUUACUGAGUUCUGAAUGAAGUUGUUCUGGUCUUCCGGGGCAAGUGAACGCUUCUCUCAAUCCAUCUUACACCUGUGCACCUAUCGGGGAAGACUUGGAUCUAAGUUGGGUCACGACGGCGAUCUACAGUCUCCUCUUUAUACCAAAUAACAGUUUUAGAAAGUCUUUUUUGCUUGAUGCAAACUUAAAUAAAUACAACUUUCAGCAACGGAUCUCUUGGCUCUC
This 253-nucleotide unclassified non-coding RNA is filed under the name plant metagenome. Its description in RNAcentral is "partial contains small subunit ribosomal RNA, internal transcribed spacer 1, and 5.8S ribosomal RNA". The record is from RNAcentral.